AAAUUGAAGAGUUUGAUCAUGGCUCAGAUUGAACGCUGGCGGCAGGCCUAACACAUGCAAGUCGAACGGUAACACAGAGAGCUUGCUCUCGGGUGACGAGUGGCGGACGGGUGAGUAAUGUCUGGGAAACUGCCUGAUGGAGGGGGAUAACUACUGGAAACGGUGGCUAAUA
Molecule: ribosomal RNA, 172 nt
Filed under: Salmonella enterica subsp. enterica serovar Kedougou
Lineage: Bacteria; Pseudomonadati; Pseudomonadota; Gammaproteobacteria; Enterobacterales; Enterobacteriaceae
Description: partial 16S ribosomal RNA
Rfam family: Bacterial small subunit ribosomal RNA
Source: RNAcentral